UCUUCCCUCUGGCGGCGUGCUUAACACAUGCAAGUCGAACGGAAAGGCCGAAGCUUGCUUCGGUACUCGAGUGGCGAACGGGUGAGUAACACGUGGGUGAUCUGCCCUGUACUUCGGGAUAGGCUUGGGAAACUGGGUCUAAUACCGGAUAUGACGAUCUCUUGGAUGGGGUUGUGGAAAGCUUUUGCGGUAUGGGAUGAGCUCGCGGCCUAUCAGCUUGUUGGUGGGGUAAUGGCCUACCAAGGCGUCGACGGGUAGCCGGCCUGAGAGGGUGUACGGCCACAUUGGGACUGAGAUACGGCCCAGACUCCUACGGGAGGCAGCAGUGGGGAAUAUUGCACAAUGGGCGCAAGCCUGAUGCAGCGACGCCGCGUGGGGGAUGACGGCCUUCGGGUUGUAAACUCCUUUCGCAAUCGACGAAGCCUUUUGGUGACGGUAGGUUGAGAAGAAGCACCGGCUAACUACGUG
RNAcentral lists this ribosomal RNA (468 nucleotides) under uncultured bacterium. Its description in RNAcentral is "partial 16S ribosomal RNA". It matches the Rfam family "Bacterial small subunit ribosomal RNA", at positions 36 to 507 of the family's 1533-position model. The record is from RNAcentral.